GUCAUUCGUCUUCGGGAUACUGUACGGUGCCUUGUGCCCAUAACGUCAGAUUUCCAACAUUUUGCAUCAUGGAGAUGGAAAGGUGUCAUCUAACCGUGUGACCGGAAAUUGCUGUCCGGAUGCUGAAAUGUCGUCUUGUACCAGAAACUUUAAUGCAAUGGUUUCAAUUACUAGAUUAAUUCAAGCUGUUGAAUGAUGGUGUUUGCUGCUCAAUGUGUAGAUGGUGAAAGGUGUGCUUGACUCGGAAUAAGCUGCUGUUGUCUCUGGUGUUGGUGAAUCUACAGUUACUUUGCUUACCUUCUUCAGCUUCUCUGGACACAUGUUUUUUUUACAGAUUCAACUUGUUAAACUGUUUGAUGCCAAAGUUAGUCAGAACUCCAACUGCUGCUGCCUCCUCACACCUACAGGCAGAAAAGUUACUAUAUUUCUUCAGAAAAUUGGAAAGCUGUUGGAGUAAUCUAGUCUUCAUCCUCACUUGAUUAAUUUCGUGCCACCUAGUGAAAGGCGUGACGAAUUCCAGUUGCGCUGCUGCGUGCUAAGCAAGCAAUAUCCAGCCGUUCCGCCGUUCAGUCAUUUGAAAAGGAAUCUAUUGGCUGUCGCUAGUUAGCUAAAAUGUCCACCAGGUGAUUUCGCAAGUAAAUAGCACCUUUGCCAAAAUCAUCGGACUUGAAAGUACCUGUACAUUUUGCCGAAAUGUUGUAUCUCGUACUGGCCUCGUGUGUCUUGCUGCCUGUAGACAAGUAGGUUAUGAUGUAGAUAAUUGCACAUCUGGGCUCCCUCUUCUCUGGUCCCGUUUCCCUAAUAAUUAACCAACGCCCGCCGGUGGUCGCUCACUCGCUAUGAAACUAGGAGGAUGAGGAGGGCUCUGGUCGAACGGGGACUUGAAAGGUUGAUGAUCCGAUGAAAACUUUUGGAAGAUCAUGAAUCUAAUUAGGAAUUCUACUUACGUCUAAUUCUAUGAUUAAUCACAACCUAGCAAAACUGGUCUCACACUCUUUUCUCUUAUUCCAUGUCCAGGGAAUGUAAAAAGAUAAUUAUUUAAACCUUGUCCGAAACAAGAGCUUACAUUGGUAAUAUGAAAAAUAAUGAUAAUAGAGAAUAAAUUAAUAAGAAAAAUGAAAUUAACCUGAAAUAUAUAUUAUGUUAUAGCAAAAUUUACAAAUAAAACAUUGAGAAUCUUCUAUUUAUUGUUCAUACUUACGUUUCGUUAUCCUUAUAAUAUGUUGCAUGGAUAUGACAUGACAGAUGAACAACACAUUAAUAUAUUCCACCAAGGACAGUAGCAGCUUUAAGCACAGUUAUCACCAUCUCCUCAUUGGGCAGCAUCUACAUUAACAGCUUGAACAUCAUACAACAUACAACCAUCAAAACCUGCAGGGAAAAAGACAGAUUUUGGUUAAAACAGGAAUAGAUAUACCACAGGCAAGGCCCACUGAAGAA
Molecule: long non-coding RNA, 1440 nt
Filed under: Daphnia pulex (common water flea)
Lineage: Eukaryota; Metazoa; Arthropoda; Branchiopoda; Diplostraca; Daphniidae
Description: uncharacterized LOC124199891, transcript variant X3
Source: RNAcentral